Long non-coding RNA from Cyclopterus lumpus (lumpfish), 1643 nucleotides. RefSeq lists it as uncharacterized. The transcript is spliced from 3 exons. The record is from RefSeq and is a predicted model, not a curated record. Lineage: Eukaryota; Metazoa; Chordata; Actinopteri; Perciformes; Cyclopteridae.
UCAUGAUGAGGCACAGUCAGCGGCCCCGGGAUGGAGCUGUCUCCGUGUCCCUCAAACCUAUUCAAGGUGUUUGAGGAUUUGAAGGACUCGGAGUGGAGCUCCCACCUGGUUAAUCAAGCUGCCGGUUGGCCUCAGCUGAGCGGUAAUGAAGUAGAUAGUUCCGGUCACGCAGAAUCACGUUUGAAAACUGUCGAGAACACCGUCCGCCCGUUUAAAUAUCACUGCGCCGAACAAAAACCCACUCACACCAUUUAGCGAACUGUCAAGGACGGAACUAUACCGCCGAGAGGAAGGAUACAACGUCAUACGCGUACGAAGUUGAAAGGUGUCAACUAGCGAUGUUUAACGUGCCGGGUUAUGAUUCCGGUUUAAAACAAACAAACAAACAAAAUACGUCUCUUUCAGUGCCAACAGAAAACAACAAGGCGUAAACGCUGCAACAAGAGCACGGGACCCCGUUCAAUGAGGGGCCAACCCAACAGGUAUCCGUUAAACUCACCUGCCCGUCCGCAUACAGCGUGUUCAGCAUCGUGGUCGGAGACAAGAAGUCCCGGUUACGUAGGUUUUUAGCGCUGCUUUCCUUGAACCAAAGCUUCUCCGGUUCGGGGAAGACCCGGUCGCCGUUCAGCUGGCUGGACUCGGGCACAUCGUCACGCUUCCCCCGCAGUGCGGAGCUAAGCGCCCGGACGGUCGGGGUGAUCCGGAGGGUCGCGGACUCCUCGGUAUUCUCCAUCUCCUCCGCCACACGAACAGUGAGGUGCAACCUGUUUCUUCCGAGGUGAAUUUUCGUGUCGGACCAGUGGGAUUUGCCUAAUAGCGCCAUCCAGUGUGUGGUAGAGCCACUGCAAUCCAUAACUACACAGUCUGAACAAAACGUACACGACUCCAUCGAAGAAAACGACUGUGAUGGAGCAAGUCUCCAGGUCGGUGUCGGCGACGGUCACCCAGCUCAGAAAGAUGGACGCUUCCAUGCAGACGUAGGAGGACGCCCGGCUACAGAGGUUGAUGGACCAUGAGAAGGAAAUGCAGAACAAUUUAAUGAGUCAGCUGGUGGCCAUGCACGAGAGGAUCGGCCGAGAGAACCACAUGAGGCACCUUGAACUCGUGGACAGCAUACUGUCCAGGUUCCCCGCGCCCUCGGGUCACUGACUGACACUUCCUAUGAGUGACAAUGGGUUAUUCAGGUGGAGCGUCACGUCUGCCAUUCUGCUCCACCAGCUGACUUGUGCCUAUUCCACCUUCCUUUUAUUUAUCACCACUGUACAGAAGAAUGACUGAGAUCAUCUCUCCUUUUAACCUUGACUCUGCUCACUUGUAUCUAAUACGAAUCCAGGUUACAAAAACCAGGUCAUGUUCCCACUGCAGGCCUUCAUGCUCCCUUUCCCAUUCACUGUUCAUUCCUUAAGCCUGAAACAGUGGCCGCAAUAAACUGAACAAAACAUAAACCGAACAAUAAAGCUCCAUCAAAAGUCAGUUGUAGUCGCAGCUUUCAACUUGCAUAUGUUAAUGUGAUUUAGCCAUGAUUAAUCAUACAGUUAUACAACAUUUAUAACUAAUCUCAAUGAAGUCCUCUGAUGCAACUUAUCCUAUUUUAGCACUUAUUCUCUCAGCCAUCUCCGUGAUGCAGACUUCCCUCGCGAGCC